Molecule: transfer RNA, 71 nt
Filed under: Salvia splendens (bonfire salvia)
Lineage: Eukaryota; Viridiplantae; Streptophyta; Magnoliopsida; Lamiales; Lamiaceae
Rfam family: tRNA
About the family: Transfer RNA (tRNA) molecules are approximately 80 nucleotides in length. Their secondary structure includes four short double-helical elements and three loops (D, anti-codon, and T loops).
Source: Rfam by way of RNAcentral
GGCGGCAUAGCCUAGUGAUAAGGUGGGGGACUACAAAUCCUUUUUCCUUAGUUCAAACCUGAGUGUCACUU